RNAcentral lists this ribosomal RNA (1500 nucleotides) under Enterococcus durans. Its description in RNAcentral is "bacterial SSU rRNA". It matches the Rfam family "Bacterial small subunit ribosomal RNA". The record is from RNAcentral. Lineage: Bacteria; Bacillati; Bacillota; Bacilli; Lactobacillales; Enterococcaceae.
GGGCCUUGCCGGGGUGCUAAUAAUGCAAGUCGUACGCUUCUUUUUCCACCGGAGCUUGCUCCACCGGAAAAAGAAGAGUGGCGAACGGGUGAGUAACACGUGGGUAACCUGCCCAUCAGAAGGGGAUAACACUUGGAAACAGGUGCUAAUACCGUAUAACAAUCGAAACCGCAUGGUUUUGAUUUGAAAGGCGCUUUCGGGUGUCGCUGAUGGAUGGACCCGCGGUGCAUUAGCUAGUUGGUGAGGUAACGGCUCACCAAGGCCACGAUGCAUAGCCGACCUGAGAGGGUGAUCGGCCACAUUGGGACUGAGACACGGCCCAAACUCCUACGGGAGGCAGCAGUAGGGAAUCUUCGGCAAUGGACGAAAGUCUGACCGAGCAACGCCGCGUGAGUGAAGAAGGUUUUCGGAUCGUAAAACUCUGUUGUUAGAGAAGAACAAGGAUGAGAGUAACUGUUCAUCCCUUGACGGUAUCUAACCAGAAAGCCACGGCUAACUACGUGCCAGCAGCCGCGGUAAUACGUAGGUGGCAAGCGUUGUCCGGAUUUAUUGGGCGUAAAGCGAGCGCAGGCGGUUUCUUAAGUCUGAUGUGAAAGCCCCCGGCUCAACCGGGGAGGGUCAUUGGAAACUGGGAGACUUGAGUGCAGAAGAGGAGAGUGGAAUUCCAUGUGUAGCGGUGAAAUGCGUAGAUAUAUGGAGGAACACCAGUGGCGAAGGCGGCUCUCUGGUCUGUAACUGACGCUGAGGCUCGAAAGCGUGGGGAGCAAACAGGAUUAGAUACCCUGGUAGUCCACGCCGUAAACGAUGAGUGCUAAGUGUUGGAGGGUUUCCGCCCUUCAGUGCUGCAGCUAACGCAUUAAGCACUCCGCCUGGGGAGUACGACCGCAAGGUUGAAACUCAAAGGAAUUGACGGGGGCCCGCACAAGCGGUGGAGCAUGUGGUUUAAUUCGAAGCAACGCGAAGAACCUUACCAGGUCUUGACAUCCUUUGACCACUCUAGAGAUAGAGCUUCCCCUUCGGGGGCAAAGUGACAGGUGGUGCAUGGUUGUCGUCAGCUCGUGUCGUGAGAUGUUGGGUUAAGUCCCGCAACGAGCGCAACCCUUAUUGUUAGUUGCCAUCAUUCAGUUGGGCACUCUAGCAAGACUGCCGGUGACAAACCGGAGGAAGGUGGGGAUGACGUCAAAUCAUCAUGCCCCUUAUGACCUGGGCUACACACGUGCUACAAUGGGAAGUACAACGAGUCGCGAAGUCGCGAGGCUAAGCUAAUCUCUUAAAGCUUCUCUCAGUUCGGAUUGUAGGCUGCAACUCGCCUACAUGAAGCCGGAAUCGCUAGUAAUCGCGGAUCAGCACGCCGCGGUGAAUACGUUCCCGGGCCUUGUACACACCGCCCGUCACACCACGAGAGUUUGUAACACCCGAAGUCGGUGAGGUAACCUUUUGGAGCCAGCCGCCUAAGGUGGGAUAGAUGAUUGGGGUGAAGUCGUAUCAAGUAGGGUACCU